This is a long non-coding RNA of Tympanuchus pallidicinctus (lesser prairie-chicken), 330 nucleotides long. RefSeq lists it as uncharacterized. The transcript is spliced from 3 exons. NCBI's taxonomy places the organism in Eukaryota, Metazoa, Chordata, Aves, Galliformes, Phasianidae. The record is from RefSeq and is a predicted model, not a curated record.
AAACUCCUCUUCCAACCCAUUUCAAUACAAUGGUAGCUGGCACCUGCCUCACGAAACUUUUAACCAGCCUCCUUUUCCAAAAGAUCUUACUCACCUAUGGCACUCGAGAAUGUAAUUUGGGAAGCAGAUCUAGGAAGACUUUCGUGCAUACACAGAUGUUGUGAGCAUUUCUACACCUAGAGGCUUUCGACACUGAGCCGCCACUCAGUCUGUAUUCACAGCUUUUUCAAGACACAAGGGUGCAAUGACAGAUGCAACAAAUGGACAAAAAGAAGUCAAAGGCUGGCGGUAACAAACACAGAAUUAUGCAAAAAUGCUCACUUGAUUAUU